GCUGCGAGUAGAAGCAGUCGGGGCACAGUCCUGGACAUUGCUCGACGG
This 48-nucleotide non-coding RNA is filed under the name Haematobacter massiliensis. RNAcentral describes it as "Xanthine-I sequence". It matches the Rfam family "Xanthine riboswitch aptamer (NMT1 RNA)". Rfam says of the family: Later it was reported as a ncRNA that recognised Xanthine. Lineage: Bacteria; Pseudomonadati; Pseudomonadota; Alphaproteobacteria; Rhodobacterales; Paracoccaceae. The record is from Rfam by way of RNAcentral.